ACCCAUGGUUGUGAAAAACAUCUCUUCUCAUUCCAAAUAAAUCAUGGCUAAUAAAAUGAUUUAUUUAUAUAAAAUCAUUUUCACAUCUCACUAAUCAUCUUGGCAUAAUUUGAUAUG
Long non-coding RNA from Ipomoea nil (Japanese morning glory), 117 nucleotides. RefSeq lists it as uncharacterized. The record is from RefSeq and is a predicted model, not a curated record. The transcript has 3 exons. NCBI's taxonomy places the organism in Eukaryota, Viridiplantae, Streptophyta, Magnoliopsida, Solanales, Convolvulaceae.